AACGAACGCUGGCGGCGCGCCUAAUACAUGCAAGUCGAGCGAGAAGACGUAGCAAUACGUUUGUAAAGCGGCGAACGGGUGAGGAAUACAUGGGUAACCUACCCUCGAGUGGGGAAUAACUAGCCGAAAGGUUAGCUAAUACCGCGUACGCUCCUUGGACUUCGGUUCAGGGAGGAAAGCGAUACCGUGGGUAUCGCGCUCUUGGAUGGGCUCAUGUCCUAUCAGCUUGUUGGUGAGGAACGGCUCACCAAGGCUUCGACGGGUAGCUGGUCUGAGAGGACGAUCAGCCACACUGGCACUGCGACACGGGCCAGACUCCGUACGGGAGCAGCAGUAAGGAAUAUUGCGCAAUGGGACGAAAGCCUGACGCAGCGACGCCGCGGUGGGGGNGG
Molecule: ribosomal RNA, 392 nt
Filed under: uncultured bacterium
Lineage: Bacteria
Description: bacterial SSU rRNA
Rfam family: Bacterial small subunit ribosomal RNA
Source: RNAcentral